CCGCGUUCCGGGCUCGGCGC
This 20-nucleotide microRNA is filed under the name Mus musculus (house mouse). Its description in RNAcentral is "mmu-miR-7648-5p". The record is from miRBase by way of RNAcentral. Lineage: Eukaryota; Metazoa; Chordata; Mammalia; Rodentia; Muridae.